UGCUUAAAUCUGCUUUAUAUCUGCUUAGCUA
RNAcentral lists this non-coding RNA (31 nucleotides) under Mus musculus (house mouse). RNAcentral also lists the same sequence under 1 other name. The record is from RNAcentral. Lineage: Eukaryota; Metazoa; Chordata; Mammalia; Rodentia; Muridae.